Molecule: transfer RNA, 71 nt
Filed under: Hanseniaspora uvarum
Lineage: Eukaryota; Fungi; Ascomycota; Saccharomycetes; Saccharomycodales; Saccharomycodaceae
Rfam family: tRNA
About the family: Transfer RNA (tRNA) molecules are approximately 80 nucleotides in length. Their secondary structure includes four short double-helical elements and three loops (D, anti-codon, and T loops).
Source: Rfam by way of RNAcentral
AAACUAUUAGUUAAAUGGUAUAACGAUGACUUGAUAGGUCAUAAUCUAAGGUUCGAUUCCUUAAUAGUUUA